Molecule: ribosomal RNA, 253 nt
Filed under: uncultured bacterium
Lineage: Bacteria
Description: partial 16S ribosomal RNA
Rfam family: Bacterial small subunit ribosomal RNA
Source: RNAcentral
UACGUAGGGUGCGAGCGUUAAUCGGAAUUACUGGGCGUAAAGCGUGCGCAGGCGGUUCGACAAGUCCGAUGUGAAAGCCCCGGGCUCAACCUGGGAAUGGCAUUGGAAACUGGCGAGCUUGAGUGCAGGAGAGGAACGCGGAAUUCCAGGUGUAGCGGUGAAAUGCGUAGAUAUCUGGAGGAACACCGGUGGCGAAGGCGGCGUUCUGGACUGCAACUGACACUGAAGAACGAAAGCCAGGGGAGCAAACGGG